GGCUGGUCUAAUGGUAGUGGGUUAUUAACAUUAGUGUCACUAAUUAGAACUUAUUAACAUUAGUGUCACUAAAGUUGAUAUACAACCCUCCUCUGCUAAAUUUGACUGGCUUAAA
Marmota marmota marmota (Alpine marmot) is the source of this 115-nucleotide unclassified non-coding RNA. It matches the Rfam family "Y RNA". From Rfam's summary of the family: Y RNAs are components of the Ro ribonucleoprotein particle (Ro RNP), in association with Ro60 and La proteins. The Y RNAs and Ro60 and La proteins are well conserved, but the function of the Ro RNP is not known. In humans the RNA component can be one of four small RNAs -- hY1, hY3, hY4 and hY5. Lineage: Eukaryota; Metazoa; Chordata; Mammalia; Rodentia; Sciuridae. The record is from Ensembl.